AGUGAACGCUGGCGGUAGGCCUAACACAUGCAAGUCGAACGGCAGCACAGGAGAGCUUGCUCUCUGGGUGGCGAGUGGCGGACGGGUGAGGAAUACAUCGGAAUCUACUCUGUCGUGGGGGAUAACGUAGGGAAACUUACGCUAAUACCGCAUACGACCUACGGGUGAAAGCAGGGAUCUUCGGACCUUGCGCGAUUGAAUGAGCCGAUGUCGGAUUAGCUAGUUGGCGGGGUAAAGGCCCACCAAGGCGACGAUCCGUAGCUGGUCUGAGAGGAUGAUCAGCCACACUGGAACUGAGACACGGUCCAGACUCCUAUGGGAGGCAGCAGUGGGGAAUAUUGGACAAUGGGCGCAAGCCUGAUCCAGCCAUACCGCGUGGGUGAAGAAGGCCUUCGGGUUGUAAAGCCCUUUUGUUGGGAAAGAAAUCCAGCUGGCUAAUACCCGGUUGGGAUGACGGUACCCAAAGAAUAAGCACCGGCUAACUUCGUGCCAGCAGCCGCGGUAA
RNAcentral lists this ribosomal RNA (505 nucleotides) under uncultured bacterium. Its description in RNAcentral is "partial 16S ribosomal RNA". It matches the Rfam family "Bacterial small subunit ribosomal RNA", at positions 29 to 523 of the family's 1533-position model. The record is from RNAcentral.